Non-coding RNA from Aedes aegypti (yellow fever mosquito), 46 nucleotides. The record is from Rfam. Lineage: Eukaryota; Metazoa; Arthropoda; Insecta; Diptera; Culicidae.
CAAACGGCCCUUUUAAGGGCUACCGAAUUUUUCAAGAAGAGUUAUU